GACGAACGCUGGCGGCGUGCUUAACACAUGCAAGUCGAACGGUAAGGCCUUCGGGUACACGAGUGGCGAACGGGUGAGUAACACGUGGGUGAUCUGCCCUGCACUUCGGGAUAAGCCUGGGAAACUGGGUCUAAUACCGGAUAGGACUCCUGGCUUCCCGGUUGGGGGUGGCAAGCUUUUGCGGUGUGGGAUGGGCCCGCGGCCUAUCAGCUUGUUGGUGGGGUAAUGGCCUACCAAGGCGACGACGGGUAGCCGGCCUGAGAGGGUGUCCGGCCACACUGGGACUGAGAUACGGCCCAGACUCCUACGGGAGGCAGCAGUGGGGAAUAUUGCACAAUGGGCGCAAGCCUGAUGCAGCGACGCCGCGUGGGGGAUGACGGCCUUCGGGUUGUAAACCUCUUCCAGUGGGGACGAAGCGCAAGUGACGGUACCUACAGAAGAAGCACCGGCCAACUACGUGCCAGCAGCCGCCGUAA
RNAcentral lists this ribosomal RNA (476 nucleotides) under uncultured bacterium. Its description in RNAcentral is "partial 16S ribosomal RNA". It matches the Rfam family "Bacterial small subunit ribosomal RNA", at positions 28 to 523 of the family's 1533-position model. The record is from RNAcentral.